RNAcentral lists this ribosomal RNA (428 nucleotides) under uncultured bacterium. RNAcentral's name for it is "partial 16S ribosomal RNA". It matches the Rfam family "Bacterial small subunit ribosomal RNA", at positions 354 to 796 of the family's 1533-position model. The record is from RNAcentral.
GUAGGGAAUAUUGCGCAAUGGGGGAAACCCUGACGCAGCGACGCCGCGUGAGUGAUGAAGGCCUUCGGGUCGUAAAGCUCUGUUGCAGGGGAAUAAAAAAAUGAAGGUACCCUGUGAGGAAGGAUCGGCUAACUUCGUGCCAGCAGCCGCGGUAAGACGAGGGAUCCUAGCGUUGCUCGGAAUCAUUGGGCGUAAAGAGGGCGUAGGUGGCUUGGUAAGUCAGGUGUGAAAGCCCAGGGCUCAACCCUGGAAGUGCAUUUGAUACUGCUGAGCUUGAGUGUCGGAGAGGUUACCGGAAUACCUGGUGUAGUGGUGAAAGACGUAGAUAUCAGGUGGAACACCGGAGGCGAAGGCGGGUAACUGGACGAACACUGACACUGAGGCCCGAAAGCGUGGGGAUCAAACAGGAUUAGAUACCCCGGUAGUCC